CGCUGAAGAAGAUUCCCAACAUGGCCUGAAAGAGAACAGAGGGGUUCAACGGGAGGCUCGGGGCCACAGCAGAGGUCAGUGCGGAGGUCAGUGCGGAGGUCAGAGCGGCGGUCAGAGCGGAGGUCAGAGCGGAGGACAGAGCGGAGGUCAGUGCGGAGGUCAGUGCGGACCACCUGAGACUCUGACAAAUACCUGGAAGAAUCAUUACCAUCCCAUAAACGAUGUUCACUGCUCCAGUAAAUAGGACGAACCUUAGAUACGACUUUGCAGUGGGAGAUAUUUCUAGUUCCACUCAGAGAACUAACGUUACGUUACGAACCAGAGUUACUAAACUUAAACUUGUGUUUGACCAGUUAAAUGCUUUUAAUUUGACAUUUUUAACGUUUUAUCAAAUAAUUUCCAGCACUUUCUUACAAACACACUAAUAUAUAUUAAUGUUUCCAAUCAGAUAGAAUUUAUUUUAUUUGACAGAAAAUUGAUCUUCUACAGUUAAAGAGGAAAUUACACAAUAAUUAACAUCCUCUAAUAAACCCUGAAUACCAACAUCAACAGAUUAUUAUUGUUAUUCAAUAUGUCAAUACUUUCAGUUCAUUAUUAAUAAAAUGAUUUAAUUGUUUCUCUGUUUGUUGGAGCUGCAGUGAAGAUUACCGACGCACUCUCAGGAACAUUAUUAUUGAUUAUUGAUCCAAUAACUACAGACUCACAACUCCUGCGACACUUUUCAGAAACGGAUCCAGUUUGGUGUCAAACACAAUAAUGUUUAAAUGUUUAAAUCACGUUAAGUUCAAUGAAAAAAUAAUUAUUUAUAACAAUUUAUUUAAAGUUUGAGUUCAAAUAUUGAUGGUGAAAACAGCUGAUUCAUGUUUCUGUGUUUUAUUAAUAGUUAAUAAUUUUAUUGACCCGCUGGUUUUGGAGAAGUAUUAAUGAUUAAUGUCCUAAUAAAGUCAAUGUCUGUUGGACUCAAUCAGUUAAUAACAAUAAAAACAAUACACGUAUGGAUCCAUAAUGGAACCAAUCAUUAGCUGCAGCCACACUAAUAAUAAUAACAAUAAUAAUAAUAACAAUAAUAAUAACACUAAUAACAAUAAUAAUAAUAAUAAUAAUAAUAAUCUGAACUUCCUGUUGGAGACAAACUGACUUCCUGUUCUGAAACAUCACAUGAGGCCAAACAUAGAAAGUCACAUGAUUCCUUUUUCUGUCUCUUUAGUUCCUGAAUUCAAACAGUUAUUGAUGAGAAUCUUCUGAAUAUUGAUGGAAAAUGUUUGUAAUCAAUCAGAAAUCAACUGUUUAUAUUUUAAUAUCUGUGCCACCAGCAUUUAAUCUGAGUAUCCAGACUGUAGACGCCUCCAUAACGUUAAUUACACAGGCACAAGCCAACUGAUCGAUCCAGCGCUGUAUCGAUUAUUGAUUACAAGAGCAGAACAGAAUCUAACGUUAUUGUACAUUUAGCUAGGCCUCCUCGGGCUCCGUCUAUUUACCGGAACAGACUUCACCCUCAGGUAUUACUGUGUGACAGACGGUUUGUUUUUCAUCAUUUUUAAAGUCUAAACAAUCUAAAUAAAUAACAAUAAUCAUAAAAACAACAACUGAAACGUUACUUUAAGAUAAAAACGUCUCGUUGGACGCUCCUCAGUGUGAGUCCAGGAAAUAGACGGAGCCCCGUUCUCUUACCAGCAUUAUGACCCCCCAGAUGCUGAUCACUAUCCCGCAGGCGGCCAUCUUCGGCCCGCAGAACAGAAGCGACGGCAUGCCUGAGCUCGGUGUUAUCGAUCAAUCAGAAGCGGGUUUUAUUUCUGAUUCAAUGAUCGGAGAAAUGU
Dicentrarchus labrax (European seabass) is the source of this 1817-nucleotide long non-coding RNA. RefSeq lists it as uncharacterized. The record is from RefSeq and is a predicted model, not a curated record. Lineage: Eukaryota; Metazoa; Chordata; Actinopteri; Moronidae. The transcript is spliced from 2 exons.